RNAcentral lists this ribosomal RNA (253 nucleotides) under uncultured bacterium. Its description in RNAcentral is "partial 16S ribosomal RNA". It matches the Rfam family "Bacterial small subunit ribosomal RNA", at positions 524 to 776 of the family's 1533-position model. The record is from RNAcentral.
UACAGAGGUCUCAAGCGUUGUUCGGAAUCACUGGGCGUAAAGGGUGCGUGGGUGGCGUGGAAAGUCAGAUGUGAAAUCCGGGGGCUCAACCUCCGAAUUGCAUCCGGUACUCCCAUGCUAGAGAACUGGAGGGGAGUCUGGAAUUCUCGGUGUAGCAGUGAAAUGCGUAGAUAUCGAGAGGAACACUAGUGGCGCAGGCGAGACUCUGGACGGUUUCUGACACUGAUGCGCGAAGGCCAGGGUAGCGAACGGG